This 492-nucleotide ribosomal RNA is filed under the name uncultured bacterium. Its description in RNAcentral is "partial 16S ribosomal RNA". It matches the Rfam family "Bacterial small subunit ribosomal RNA", at positions 29 to 507 of the family's 1533-position model. The record is from RNAcentral.
AGUGAACGCUGGCGGUAGGCCUAACACAUGCAAGUCGAACGGCAGCACAGUAAGAGCUUGCUCUUACGGGUGGCGAGUGGCGGACGGGUGAGGAAUACAUCGGAAUCUACUUUUUCGUGGGGGAUAACGUAGGGAAACUUACGCUAAUACCGCAUACGACCUACGGGUGAAAGCAGGGGAUCUUCGGACCUUGCGCGAUUGAAUGAGCCGAUGUCGGAUUAGCUAGUUGGCGGGGUAAAGGCCCACCAAGGCGACGAUCCGUAGCUGGUCUGAGAGGAUGAUCAGCCACCCUGGAGCUGGGACACGGUCCAGACUCCUACGGGAGGCAGCAGCGGGGAAUAUUGGACAAUGGGCGCAAGCCUGAUCCAGCCAUACCGCGUGGGUGAAGAAGGCCUUCGGGUUGUAAAGCCCUUUUGUUGGGAAAGAAAAGCAGCAGGUUAAUACCCCGCUGUUCUGACGGUACCCAAAGAAUAAGCACCGGCUAACUUCGUG